RNAcentral lists this ribosomal RNA (484 nucleotides) under uncultured bacterium. RNAcentral describes it as "partial 16S ribosomal RNA". It matches the Rfam family "Bacterial small subunit ribosomal RNA", at positions 29 to 507 of the family's 1533-position model. The record is from RNAcentral.
AUUGAACGCUGGCGGCAUGCUUUACACAUGCAAGUCGAACGGCAGCGCGGGCUUCGGCCUGGCGGCGAGUGGCGAACGGGUGAGUAAUACAUCGGAACGUGCCCAGUAGUGGGGGAUAGCUCGGCGAAAGCCGGAUUAAUACCGCAUACGACCUGAGGGUGAAAGCGGGGGAUCUUCGGACCUCGCGCUAUUGGAGCGGCCGAUGGCAGAUUAGCUAGUUGGUGGGGUAAAGGCCUACCAAGGCGACGAUCUGUAGCUGGUCUGUGAGGACGACCAGCCAAACUGGGACUGGGAAACGGCCCAGACUCCUACGGGAGGCAGCAGUGGGGAAUUUUGGACAAUGGGCGAAAGCCUGAUCCAGCAAUGCCGCGUGUGUGAUGAAGGCCUUCGGGUUGUAAAGCACUUUUGGCGGGAACGAAAAAGACUGUGCCAAUACCACGGUUCGAUGACGGUACCCGCAGAAUAAGCACCGGCUAACUACGUG